This is a long non-coding RNA of Equus caballus (horse), 2496 nucleotides long. The record is from Ensembl. NCBI's taxonomy places the organism in Eukaryota, Metazoa, Chordata, Mammalia, Perissodactyla, Equidae.
CAGACUUGGAGCCUCUGAAUAACCUUGAGAAAUUACAACACUCAGUGUUUUCACCACAUUCAAUUUACAGAUGAGGUAGCCUCAGUCAAAGAAGCUAAGUAUGGCCAAGGCCUAUUGGCUCAAACCAGUCUGUCCCAAAUCCUUGUGUUUGCACUGCUCUAAGUCUUUCACCACUGGAUAUUGCAGUUGAUUAUAGAUGAAUAUGCUGAUGGUUCAGACUCCUAAGCACACACAGUGGAUCAGGAGGUAAGUGAUUAGAGAAGCAAGGAUAAGACGUGAAUGAUGGUGGAGAAGGCAGUUAUGAUGGAGGCCUGGGGGAAGCAGACACAGGAGGGAACUGUGCUGGGAGCUAAGAAGUGGGUGAGCCAAAGGCCCCUCCAGAUGUUUUCAAGCCAUCCAGGAUAAUUUUAAUUUGCUAAAAAAAAAGUGUGAUUCGAGGCUUCUAUAAAAUGGCAGGAUGCUACCUAACAGUGUCACACCUUGCUUUAGGCACAGACUAAGUUUUCCUAGUGUUUUGAUAAGGCGAGGGAGUAUUUCAACAAACAUAUUUAGCUCUCAAUUCAACUCUAAAAAGGUGAAGUGAUACAUCAAAAAAAAAAAAAGUUGAAAUGAUCCAGUUGAACCCAUGUUCGUGGCAAUCUAAAUUGAUAGACGCUACAAUUAUUUGGAGAACUAAUUCAUCAUGGAAGGUUUCUAAGUUUAUUUACCUUGUUUUGAAGAUAGAGGAGCUAUAAAAAUAUAAGGGGUUUAGAUUAAUAUUAAAAGAGAUUACAGUAACUAAUCCACAUAGCUUUGUGGGGCCUAAGAAAACAUAUGCUGAAUUGUACCAAAAUAGAUGUGCAAUUAAAAAUAGAGGCCUGAUCCAGUGAAAUCUGCCCUCAAAUCCUUCAGUGGGAGUUGGUACAGACCCUCACUCCCCCGAAGGUCACUCAUUUUUGACUCUUCAGCAAAUCAUUUGUUCUUUCUAGACAAUUUUUCUCGUUUAUGAGAGGUUUCCCUAGCCUUUGGCUUAGCAUUUCAUUUUAAACUUUCUUUAAUAGAAUGAUCUAAGUACUAACUGGUAGAAAUAAUUUCAAUUUAUUGGACGUAUAAUAUAUAUCAGAUAUUCUGCUGGACUGUGUGUGUGAGUGUGCACACAUGUGCACACAUUACCUGUAAUCCACCCUAUAGCCAGGCAGAGUAUUCUAAGUCUCACUCUAUGUGAGGGGAACUGAGGCUCAGUUCAUUUGGUGAGUGCCCUAGGUUAGACCCCAGCCUUGUCUACUUGUAAAGCCUGUGCUCCUUCUCCACGAGACACGUUCUAAAGGGUCAAAGAGAUGUUUGAUCUUCAAGAAGCCAGUUCAAAUUAUACAGUACGAUUCACUCUUUGAUUCAACAAAUAUUUAUUGAAAUUUUAUUGUGUUCCAGAUACUGUGAUAAGAACUGAGUCUACACUGAUGAGUACAACCAACAAGGGGCCCCUACCCACGUGCAGUUUUACUGUCUUGUGGAGGAGUCUGUCAUCGAGACUCAGCAUGAACCCAUAGCAAACUCAAGUUCAGUCUUCUCCUCUCAAGAUAUUUGCAAUCUGAAAUGACUUCAGUUAAGGUGAGCACUGAGGCAGAGUAAUUUAUUGGAACUGAUUUGGGUUCACCGCCUUGGCAUCAGGAUUUGUACCUAUGUUCAGGCCUGUGUUCGCACAUGCCACACUUGAUCUACUGGUAAACAUAUGAAGGGUAAGUCUCCUGAAAAAACCAGCACCCUUUCAGUGCGUUCAGCCUUGCUCUGAGCCAUUCACCUUAGCUUGCUUUCCUUCUUUGGCCAAAGACACCCCGGUAUGUUUGCUGGCACUUUUACAUGUCUCUAAUCAGCCCGCACAAGAGUGCUCAGCCUGCAGGCUACACUCUCACCUCUGACGUUUCCCAGAUAUGCCCAGACAUCACCCACAAAAGUAAGUCACAUGCUCUUCUUCAAGGCCCAGCUCAGAAUGGCCAAGUGCCACCGUGCGUCUUAGAUUCUCCUCUGCAAACAUGUCUGCUGGUUGGCGGUAUGUUUACAUGCUGAUUGAGGAUUGUUUCAAAUAAAGCUGUCUGAUGUAGAAAGACAUGGUUGCUAGGGAGCCAGAGUCACGAUGGCUGAUGUUACUAGGGAGGAUACAGAGCAGGCAGUGGCUACAGUUGAUUCAGCACUACGUUACCAGAAUAAGUAAAGGUCUAUUUGCCUUGCAUGAUAUUAAAUUAAAUCUGUCUGAGAGAUAAACAACUUAAAUUUUAAUGCUUCACAUUCAAGAGUGCAUCUGGACUAAUAUUUAAGUAACACAAUACAUCUAUCUUUCAGACUAUGAUUCAAUGUUUUGGUCUUCUUUGCUUUUAGGCUUUUGUUGAAAGCUCUAAAUUUAUUUAAUCCUUCUCUUUCCAGAAAGGUGAGAGUAUUGCUCCAAACCUUGCUCAACUAAAAAUACUGCGCAAAUCCUACUUCAGAUUUAUCUACUGAGUUAUUUAUUUUACCAGUUUAGAU